Aegilops tauschii subsp. strangulata is the source of this 784-nucleotide long non-coding RNA. RefSeq lists it as uncharacterized. Lineage: Eukaryota; Viridiplantae; Streptophyta; Magnoliopsida; Poales; Poaceae. The record is from RefSeq and is a predicted model, not a curated record.
GCGGAGAUGGACGCCGCCGUCGCCCCCCAUCCCCACCGUCGACGGCCACCACCUCCUCUCCUCGAGGCCCAGUUCGAGCAGGCGAGGCGGAUUGGCGGCCUUGGCCACGCUGAUCUAGCGGACACAGCUUCGAUCCGGAGGAAGGGAUUUGGCAGCCAUGGUGAUGGGGGUCGCCUCCCUCCUCCCUCCCCUCGUCGGAGCUCACCGGCGGGACCCUAGGCUGGCGCGGCUCCCGUGUACAGAAGCCCGUCGCAGCAUCGCACAGCAGCAAUCCCAUCGCCCCAGACCGAUGCAUGGCGACCUCAGCAACUCUGGCCAGGAUGGUCACGGUCAGGUUCCACCAAUACCAGGUGGUCGGGAGGGGCCUGCCGACGCCGACCGAGGAGCAUCCCAGGAUCUACCGCAUGAAGCUCUGGGCCACCGGCGAGAUCUGCGCCAAGUCCAAGUUCUGGUGAGGACAUGAUUCAAAUUCGGAAGCCUCUCAAGAAUGCGUGAAGAAAAGCUACGGCCAGAUCCUCGCCUUCAACGAGGUGUGAGGAGGAGCCUGUGGCUGAGACUGCAUCAGCACAGAUGCUGCAACCCAUCACAGCGAGUUCCUCGGCCUCUGUUACGGCCGAUGCAGCAGCAACUCAAGACACCAUUCAUGCCUCGUGCCACUUCUACAUUUUCUUUCUCUGUUCUAGUUACUUAUGUGAUUUAUUCCUGGUACUUGUUGCUGUUGUAUUCUGAUUACUUGUUGUGACCGGUAUUGAGAGAUUUUGGUGGUUGCUUUGAGUACAUUUAA